GACCCUGUGGUGCAAUGGUAGCACGUCUGACUCCAGAUCAGAAGGCUGUGUGUUCAAAUCACACCAGGGUCA
This 72-nucleotide transfer RNA is filed under the name Apaloderma vittatum (bar-tailed trogon). It matches the Rfam family "tRNA". Rfam says of the family: Transfer RNA (tRNA) molecules are approximately 80 nucleotides in length. Their secondary structure includes four short double-helical elements and three loops (D, anti-codon, and T loops). Further hydrogen bonds mediate the characteristic L-shaped molecular structure. tRNAs have two regions of fundamental functional importance: the anti-codon, which is responsible for specific mRNA codon recognition, and the 3' end, to which the tRNAs corresponding amino acid is attached (by aminoacyl-tRNA synthetases). tRNAs cope with the degeneracy of the genetic code in two manners: having more than one tRNA (with a specific anti-codon) for a particular amino acid; and 'wobble' base-pairing, i.e. permitting non-standard base-pairing at the 3rd anti-codon position. Lineage: Eukaryota; Metazoa; Chordata; Aves; Trogoniformes; Trogonidae. The record is from Rfam by way of RNAcentral.